This 596-nucleotide ribosomal RNA is filed under the name Daldinia sp. RNAcentral describes it as "eukaryotic LSU rRNA". It matches the Rfam family "Eukaryotic large subunit ribosomal RNA", at positions 34 to 653 of the family's 3401-position model. Lineage: Eukaryota; Fungi; Ascomycota; Sordariomycetes; Xylariales; Hypoxylaceae. The record is from RNAcentral.
UUAAGCAUAUCAAUAAGCGGAGGAAAAGAAACCAACAGGGAUUGCCCUAGUAACGGCGAGUGAAGCGGCAACAGCUCAAAUUUGAAAUCUGGCCCUCGCGGUCCGAGUUGUAAUUUGUAGAGGAUGCUUUUGGUUAGGUACCUUCCGAGUUCCCUGGAACGGGACGCCAGAGAGGGUGAGAGCCCCGUACGGUUGGAUACCGAGCCUCUAUAUAGCUCCUUCGACGAGUCGAGUAGUUUGGGAAUGCUGCUCUAAAUGGGAGGUAAAUUUCUUCUAAAGCUAAAUACCGGCCAGAGACCGAUAGCGCACAAGUAGAGUGAUCGAAAGAUGAAAAGUACUUUGAAAAGAGGGUUAAAUAGCACGUGAAAUUGUUGAAAGGGAAGCGUUUGCGACCAGACUUUUUCCGGGCGGAUCAUCCGGUGUUCUCACCGGUGCACUUCGCCCGGUUUAGGCCAGCAUCGGUUCUCCUAGGGGGAUAAAGGCGGGGGGAACGUGGCUCCUUCGGGAGUGUUAUAGCCCCCCGCGUAAUACCCCUCGGGGGACCGAGGAACGCGCAUCUGCAAGGAUGCUGGCGUAAUGGUCGCCAACGACCCGUC